GUCCACCUCACUCGCAGCCCAAGCGUGUCCAGGAUUGUCCUGACACACAGCUGGUCACUGAACUGGACAUGAGUCUCACACCAGGUGUCCAUCCACUACAUUAGACAUGGAAACUGAUGGUUUGUAAUCCCCAAUCUUAGCAGGAGACAAUCCUCACACUGGAUGAACAAGCUGACGGCAUGUCCUCCUACAAAUGACAUCCCCACCAAGCUGAGCCAGACAAGAUGUAUGUCCACUGCUGCCAUAAACUCGGCAUCUCCUGAUUGUGAGGGUCUGUAUAACAGCCUAUUGGUGUGUGAAAGCCAUGGAUAAGCUACGGCCUGAUAUGCACACUGCAUUUGGAAGACUGGGUUAUCAGUUAAAGGAGGAGUUGUUUUACCAUGGUGCUUGAAAAAAUGUACUCCUUUCUUAGAAAAUAUUGUAUAUCCUUAUGCUCCAAACAAUAUGCUAGAUUAAACAAGGCCAAUAAACAGACAAUGUUGUGUUUACAUCAUUGUGUAUUAUAACAAACUUCAUUUCCUCUCAACGUUCCAUUAACUUCAUCUGUCUUCAACAAUAUGGAUUUGUAAUGAAUAAGCUGAUAUGACAACUUUAACAAGCCUUGUUAAUCAAUUAUAAACCCCUCAUUUCCAUGGCAACUCAUUACCAAUUCUAGCCACAUUGACUGCCCAAUCUAAAGUCCCACCAAGGUGGUGCAAACAUUUCCAAAAGGACUCCACAAGAUCAAGCACCAGUCCAUUACAUCAUAGCCACUGAGGAAAGCCUUUUCUUCUAGCCCAUGCCACCAUGAUAAUAGGUGAUUAAUAUUACACGGGAGGCCCUGCGAAAAUCUGACAUCAUGCAUAAAACUUCUUAAUUAGUGACGUUUGAUGGAAGGAGGAAGAACGUGUUUAUGAUUACGCAGGAUGUUGCCUAUGAGAGCUUGACGAGGAUAAACAAAAGAGAGGAAAACGUUUACAAAAUAUUCAACAGCAGGAUCUUGUUUAUGAUGACUUAUUGCAGCCUGGCUUCCAUCAAAGUUUGACCAAUGUUCAGCACCUCAC
This is a long non-coding RNA of Haliotis rufescens (red abalone), 1043 nucleotides long. RefSeq lists it as uncharacterized. The transcript is spliced from 3 exons. The record is from RefSeq and is a predicted model, not a curated record. NCBI's taxonomy places the organism in Eukaryota, Metazoa, Mollusca, Gastropoda, Lepetellida, Haliotidae.